Molecule: ribosomal RNA, 299 nt
Filed under: Spodoptera frugiperda (fall armyworm)
Lineage: Eukaryota; Metazoa; Arthropoda; Insecta; Lepidoptera; Noctuidae
Description: partial small subunit ribosomal RNA
Source: RNAcentral
CUAGGAUUAGAUACCCUAUUAUUAAAAUUUAAAUUAAAAAUACUAAAAUAGUAGGUAAUUAUUUAUUGAAACUUAAAUAAUUUGGCGGUAUUUUAGUUCAUUUAGAGGAAUCUGUUUAAUAAUUGAUAAUCCACGAAUAAAUUUACUUAAUUUUUUAUUUUGUAUAUCGUUGUUAAAAAAAUAUUUUUUAAUAAUAAUAAUAUUUAAAAAUUUUGAUUAAAAAUUAAAUCAGAUCAAGAUGCAGAUUAUAGUUAAGAAUAUAAUGGAUUACAAUAAAUUUAUUUAGAUGAAUAUUAAUU